This 497-nucleotide ribosomal RNA is filed under the name uncultured bacterium. Its description in RNAcentral is "partial 16S ribosomal RNA". It matches the Rfam family "Bacterial small subunit ribosomal RNA", at positions 28 to 507 of the family's 1533-position model. The record is from RNAcentral.
GAUGAACGCUGGCGGCGUGCCUAAUACAUGCAAGUCGAGCGAACAGACGAGGAGCUUGCUCCUCUGACGUUAGCGGCGGACGGGUGAGUAACACGUGGAUAACCUACCUAUAAGACUGGGAUAACUUCGGGAAACCGGAGCUAAUACCGGAUAAUAUAUUGAACCGCAUGGUUCAAUAGUGCAUGACGGUUUUGCUGUCACUUUUAGAUGGAUCCGCGCCGCAUUAGCUAGUUGGUAAGGUAACGGCUUACCAAGGCAACGAUGCGUAGCCGACCUGAGAGGGUGAUCGGCCACACUGGAACUGAGACACGGUCCAGACUCCUACGGGAGGCAGCAGUAGGGAAUCUUCCGCAAUGGGCGAAAGCCUGACGGAGCAACGCCGCGUGAGUGAUGAAGGUCUUCGGAUCGUAAAACUCUGUUAUUAGGGAAGAACAAAUGUGUAAGUAACUAUGCACGUCUUGACGGUACCUAAUCAGAAAGCCACGGCUAACUACGUG